CGCUCCGCCAGAUUUCUCCGUCGGCCCAAGUCCGAAAUAAAAUGCCGGCCCUCCUUUCCCUCCGCCCUUUCUUCUUUCCCCUACCCUUCCCGGACCUUCUCCACUCCUCCCCUCCUCCGCCGCUGCUCCCGCCUCGGCCGGCGCCACCUUCGCCGCCACUGGGAGCUCGCUCGACCCGAGCAGGCUCCGGAACGUGACCGUGAUAGCCCACGUCGAUCAUGGGAAGACCGCCCUCAUGGACCGGCUUUUUUCUCCGAGAGUGCGGCACCGACAUCCCCCACGAGCAGGCCCUCGACUUCGUCAGCCUCGAUGUGCGAGCGGGGCAUCACCAUCGCUUCCACGGCAAGAAACCAGCAGCACUAGUUCUUUAGAAGUAGCGAAGCUUCUUCUUUAGAUUUCCCAGAACCGAAGUUCGAUUUCUUGGCCAAGAAUCUUGUUUGUGAGUUCGAUGUUACUUCGAUUUCCUGGAGGGAUAAUGAGCUCAACAUGUUUGAUUCCCCUGGCCAUGCUGAUUUUGGGGGUAAAGUCGAACGAGUUGUUCGAAUGGUCGAGGGAGCUGUCUUAGUUGUUGAUGCUGGGGAAGCUUCCCUUGCACAAACAAAGUUUGUUCUUGCGAAAGCUUUUAACGAUGGGCUGCGUCCAAUUCUCCUCCUGAAUAAAGUUAACCGGCCUUCAGGUAUGCCUUAUUUGGAUUUCAUAUGGGAUAUGAUAUCGUUAUGAUGUAUGAAAAAGUGAUUGGUGCAAAGCAAUGCCUUAAUCACCAAUUGCUGGACUGUGGCUUCUGUAGGGAAGUCAUUGUGGCCUUAAUGAAGGUGGUACUAUAAGAUUCUAAGUGGAGAAAGUAGGGUGUGUCUGGGAGGUUUUGUAUGCAUUACAUUUAUAUGAAAAAGUAAUUUAGAUUUCUUCUCUACCCACUCUUAUAACUAAUGUCAUCUUUAGGAAUCAGACAAUGAUUUUUUGAGGGUAAGGAAUACCUUGUUGAAAUGUUAAGCAACAACGUACACAAAUAUAUGUUAUUGUUCCUUCUUAAUAUGAGCUGCCAUUUGUGUGCAUCAGCCUGACCUUGGAGGGAUAAAUCUGUGUUCAUUAUCUGUAUCAUUGUGAAGUAUAUUAACAUCUUACAGUUCCUUUUUGAAAUGCAUGUUAGACAUGUGAUUCCCACCCACCAGACUAAGCAAUCUUGAUGCAUCAAUUCAGUGGCUAGCAUGGUCUCAUCAUAUGGAUGGGCCAAGGAGUGAAUCCGAUUAUAAUCAAUAAUUGAAUUGUCCUAAAUGGAGCAAUUAAUUAGAUGGCGAGACAUUGCUGGUGGUUGAGACUCCAUUAUUAGAUGUAUAUUUGCAUAUAGCAGUUGUCUUGAAGGAAGAUGGGAAUUGAACCAUCAAAGUGGGAAACUCUUGGUGCUUGGGAGAGUGCAAGGUCUUUUUUGUAGGAAUCUUUUGGAAAUUAGGCGAUGAUGGUUUAGGAUCUGGAUCCAGAUAUGGAUUGCAUACUUGGUAAGAUGGAGAGAGAAUCAACUAAGUUUGCAAUCCAUUGAAGGAUAAACCUGGUUAAAUGAUAAAAAAUGGAGCUAUUCUGCCAAUGUUGUUCAAUUUUCUCAAAAUAACAUUAUUUUGGUCAAUAUGGGUUAAACCCAUUUAACUAGGACAACUUUCUUUUAUUUAUUUAUUUUUCUGUGUGUGUGAGGAGGGUAUGGGGAUGUUGAAUAAAUUUGUUCUAUGAAAUGGUGGUUAGUUUGUUCCUUUCCCUUUGCCUAUUUUACCACUUAUCCCCAUUUAAUGCCUAUUCAAAGCAAACAGCAUUUUGAAUCAUCCUGCAAUGAUUUGGGAAUUGCAAAUUUGUGAUCAAACAAAAAUUUUGACAACCUAAGAAGAGCAUUUUUGAGGAAGACUGAGCAACAGGGAUAGCUAUCCCACCCACAUGCAGGUUAAAGUUACAAGGAAAUUUUAAAGUUGUACAGGUGUGUGGUCAUGCGCAUGUCUGCAUGUGUAUGUGAGGUUUAGUUGGUUGAGGGGCAUAAGAAUAAAACUCUUCUGCUCUUUAAAAGUUAGGCAAGCUUGACAUCAUUCCUUUAAUUCACUUAUCUAUUUAUUGUUGUUUUGACAAUUGUUCAGCACUGCAUUAUUCUUGAACAUUUUGCAGCUUCCGACGAGACGUGAUGGAGUUGAGAGAUUUGGUAUUUGAUUUUUUUACAAAUCUCGGUGCCACAGGUGCAUUUAAAUUUUCAAUCUGAUAUUAACUUUUCAUGUUUUAUAUUCUAUGUCCAUCUUUUUUCAUGUUUAAAUGUAGCAUUUGAUUUUAUUUUAUUUCCUUUUCUGUAAGCAAUUUUUAUAAAGAGUUUUGCUUUAAUUUGGAUUUGGUUUAAUACAUCCUUAUGGUAGCAUGAUGCA
Long non-coding RNA from Phoenix dactylifera (date palm), 2387 nucleotides. RefSeq lists it as uncharacterized. NCBI's taxonomy places the organism in Eukaryota, Viridiplantae, Streptophyta, Magnoliopsida, Arecales, Arecaceae. The record is from RefSeq and is a predicted model, not a curated record.